This 253-nucleotide ribosomal RNA is filed under the name uncultured bacterium. Its description in RNAcentral is "partial 16S ribosomal RNA". It matches the Rfam family "Bacterial small subunit ribosomal RNA", at positions 524 to 776 of the family's 1533-position model. The record is from RNAcentral.
GACGAAGGUGGCAAGCGUUAUUCGGAUUUACUGGGCAUAAAGCGCGCGUAGGCGGCUUGGCAAGUCGGGGGUGAAAGCCCGCAGCUCAACUGCGGAACUGCCUUCGAUACUGCCGGGCUUGAGGGCGGGAGGGGUGAUUGGAACUCCAGGUGUAGCGGUGAAAUGCGUAGAUAUCUGGAGGAACACCGGUGGCGAAGGCGACAUCCUGGACCGGUAUUGACGCUGAGGCGCGAAAGCCAGGGGAGCAAACGGG